Molecule: unclassified non-coding RNA, 253 nt
Filed under: uncultured Flavobacteriaceae bacterium
Lineage: Bacteria; Pseudomonadati; Bacteroidota; Flavobacteriia; Flavobacteriales; Flavobacteriaceae
Description: contains 16S-23S intergenic spacer region
Rfam family: Bacterial small subunit ribosomal RNA
Source: RNAcentral
UACGUGUGGACCAAGCGUUAUCCGGAAUCAUUGGGUUUAAAGGGUCCGUAGGCGGGUCAAUAAGUCAGUGGUGAAAGUCUGCAGCUCAACUGUAGAAUUGCCAUUGAUACUGUUGACCUUGAGUAAUUAUGAAGUGGUUAGAAUAUGUAGUGUAGCGGUGAAAUGCAUAGAUAUUACAUAGAAUACCGAUUGCGAAGGCAGAUCACUAAUAAUUCACUGACGCUGAUGGACGAAAGCGUAGGUAGCGAACAGG